AAGCCUAUGUGAGCCAGAUGUGUCCAGCAUAGCAAAAGGGGUAAAAAAUACAUGUCGCUCCCAGCUUCACAGCAAGAAGAGAGGGGAAAGGAGAAAGCAGGAGGGGGGAGCAGAAGGGAGGAAAUAUAGGACAGGAGGGGAGGGGAGGAAAUGUACGAAGAGAGAAGGGAAAAGGAAAAGAAGGGAAGGAAUGUAGGAGUAAAGGAAGGGGAGAGGAGGAAAUGCAGGGGGAAAAGGAAGGGUGGGAGAGGAGGGAAAGGGAGGAAAUGUAGGAAGAAAAGGGGGUAGAGAAGAAAUACAGGACUAUAGUAAGGGACAAGAGGAUGGGGAAGAUAGGAGAGAGCAGGAAAGAAAAGGUUAAGAGGGGAGAGGGAGGGGGAGGGGAAAUCUAGGAGAAGAGAAGAGAGGAAAUAUUAAAGGAGAGGAGAGGAAGAGUUGGAGAAGGGAGGAGAGGAGAAGAGAGCAAAUACAGGAGAGGAGGGGGAAGAAGGGAAGGGAGGAGGAGAGGAGGGGAAGAGGGGGAGGGAGGAGAUGAGAGGGAGAAGGCAAGGGAAGAAAAUGUAGGAGAAGAGGAGGAGAGUAGUCCUUCUCUUUACUCACUUCCUGGUGCCCAUCUUUGUGUAAACAAGACUUUACUCCUUGGACCAUGCAAGAAAGAGCAAGAAUGUCCCAGUCUAAUCAUUUAAAGACACAGCCUCUCCAGCUACUCAAACAAUGGAAAGAGACUUUUCCCACACCUAUGAUAGGGAAGUCCAGAAUGUCUUCUCUCAGAAGUUGGUCCCUGGCCUUUCCCAGAUAAUAUAUAGAUGAAGAACUACUGGAAGAUAAGUACACUAAGACAUUGUUGGUGAAGCUGUAAAUUUGUCCUACCAUUCUGGAAAGUAAUUUGGUAUUAUGCUUUAAAAAAAUUAAUUGUGAAAAAGUGAAUAAAAUGUCUAUAUCCCUUGACUAAAAAGUGACA
This 961-nucleotide long non-coding RNA is filed under the name Monodelphis domestica (gray short-tailed opossum). RNAcentral's name for it is "lncRNA (ENSMODG00000035194.2)". Lineage: Eukaryota; Metazoa; Chordata; Mammalia; Didelphimorphia; Didelphidae. The record is from RNAcentral.